Molecule: microRNA precursor, 168 nt
Filed under: Selaginella moellendorffii
Lineage: Eukaryota; Viridiplantae; Streptophyta; Lycopodiopsida; Selaginellales; Selaginellaceae
Description: miR396 stem-loop (smo-MIR396)
Gene: smo-MIR396
Source: miRBase by way of RNAcentral
UCUCAUGCUUUUCCACGGCUUUCUUGAACCUGGUGCUCUUCCAAGGCAGGAGGAUCAGAAAACGUUGUGGUAUUUCUCAUCUCCUCGUCUCGUCCUUGGUCUCCCCUUGAAAGAAACUCACCAGUAAGAGUACGAAGUUCAAGAAAGCUGUGGGAAACAAUGGCCGGA